CGGGGGAUUUUGCACAAUGGGCGCAAGCCUGAUGCAGCGACGCCGCGUGAGGGAUGAAGGCCUUCGGGUUGUAAACCUCUUUCGCUGGGUUGAAAGGCCAUGCUUUGGGUGUGGUUGAUUUGAACUGGUAAAGAAGUACCGGCUAACUACGUGCCAGCAGCCGCGGUAAUACGUAGGGUACUAGCGUUGUCCGGAUUUAUUGGGCGUAAAGGGCUUGUAGGUGGUUUGUCGCGUCUGUCGUGAAAUCCUGUGGCUUAACCAUGGGCUUGCGGUGGGUACGGGCAGGCUUGAGUGCGGUAGGGGAGACUGGAAUUCCUGGUGUGGCGGUGGAAUGCGCAGAUAUCAGGAGGAACACCGGUGGCGAAGGCGGGUCUCUGGGCCGUUACUGACACUGAGGAGCGAAAGCGUGGGGAGCGAACAGG
This 422-nucleotide ribosomal RNA is filed under the name Fusobacteriota bacterium. RNAcentral's name for it is "Fusobacteria bacterium partial 16S ribosomal RNA". It matches the Rfam family "Bacterial small subunit ribosomal RNA", at positions 355 to 776 of the family's 1533-position model. Lineage: Bacteria; Fusobacteriati; Fusobacteriota. The record is from RNAcentral.